UGGUAUCCUUGACUCUAAUUUGUAAAACCGAAGUAGUAACCAGUUAUUAUCUUGAAACUUAAAGGAUUUGGCGGUGUUUUAGUCUAGUUAGAGGAACCUGUUCUGUGAUCGAUAUGCCACGAAGUAUCUUACUUCACCUAGUAAUUUUAUAUUUAUCAGCUUGUAUACCGCCAUUAACAGGCAAUUUCAAUAGAGAUGUGUUGAAAUAAGAGGUAGAAAACUUAGAAAAUUAGGUCAAGGUGCAGCUAAUGGUGAAGGUUGAAAUGGGUUACAAUUUAACAAUGAAAAUUACGGAUUAAUACUUGAAAUAGGAUUAUGAAGGCGGAUUUAAAAGUAAGAUUUGUUUAAUAAGCAAGUCUGAUUAAAGCUCUAAAAUGCGUA
This 381-nucleotide ribosomal RNA is filed under the name Lysmata debelius (fire shrimp). RNAcentral's name for it is "partial 12S ribosomal RNA". Lineage: Eukaryota; Metazoa; Arthropoda; Malacostraca; Decapoda; Hippolytidae. The record is from RNAcentral.